UACAGAGGUGGCAAGCGUUGUUCGGAAUUACUGGGCGUAAAGGGCGCGUAGGCGGUCUUUUAAGUCUUGUGUGAAAUCCCUCGGCUUAACUGAGGAACUGCACGGGAUACUGGAUGACUUGAGUUCGGGAGAGGGAAGCGGAAUUCCCGGUGUAGCGGUGAAAUGCGCAGAUAUCGGGAGGAACACCUAUGGCGAAGGCAGCUCGCUGGGACGUUACUGACGCUGAGACGCGAAAGCGUGGGGAGCAAACAGG
Molecule: ribosomal RNA, 253 nt
Filed under: uncultured bacterium
Lineage: Bacteria
Description: partial 16S ribosomal RNA
Rfam family: Bacterial small subunit ribosomal RNA
Source: RNAcentral